Molecule: ribosomal RNA, 2320 nt
Filed under: human gut metagenome
Description: bacterial LSU rRNA
Rfam family: Bacterial large subunit ribosomal RNA
Source: RNAcentral
UCAAGCUAAUAAGAGCGCAGGGAGGAUGCCUUGGCAUUGGGAGCCGACGAAGGACGUGGUAAGCUGCGAAAAGCUGCGGGGAAUUGCAAGCAAGUAUUGAUCCGCAGAUGUCCGAAUGGAGCAAUCCGUUAAGAGUAAUAUCUUAACAUCAUAUACUGAAUCAAUAGGUAUAUGAGGGGAACCGCCUGAACUGAAACAUCUAAGUAGGGCGAGGAAAAGAAAUCAACCGAGAUUCCGAAAGUAGUGGCGAGCGAAAUCGGAAGAGGCUAAACCGAACUCAGAAAUGAGAUCGGGGUUUAGGACUGCAUUUAGUAUUGAAAUGAGCGAGCAGAAUGCUUUGGGAAAAGCAGCCGAAGAACGUGAGAGCCGUGUAAGCGAAGUGAGUUUCAGCGAGCAGUAUCCAAAGUACCGCGGGGCACGUGAAAUCCCGUGGGAAGAUGGGGGGACCACCCUCCAAGCCUAAAUACUACCCAAUGACCGAUAGCGAAUAGUACUGUGAAGGAAAGGUGAAAAGCACCCCGGGAGGGGAGUGAAAAAGAACCUGAAACCCUGUGCUUACAAGCACUGAGAGCUCGUCAAAGAGUGAUCAGGUACCUAUUGUAGAAUGGUCCGGCGAGUUAUGAUAUGCAGCAAGGUUAAGUACUUAAGGUACGGAGCCGCAGCGAGAGCGAGUCUGAAUAGGGCGUAAAGUUGUAUGUCAUAGACCCGAAACCGAGUGACCUAGCCAUGUCCAGGCUGAAGUGGAGGUAAAACUCCAUGGAGGGCCGAACCGACCUCCGUUGAAAAGGCGGCGGAUGAGGUGUGGCUAGCGGAGAAAUUCCAAUCGAACUCGGAUAUAGCUGGUUCUCUCCGAAAUAGCUUUAGGGCUAGCGUUGCAACAGAUUACCGGAGGUAAAGCACUGAAUAGGCUAGGGGGCGAGAGCUUACUGAACCUUAUCAAACUAAGAAUGCCGGAUAAUUGAUUUGCAGCAGUCAGACAGUGUGAGAUAAGUUUCAUUGUCAAAAGGGAAACAGCCCAGACCCACAGCUAAGGUCCCAAAGUACAUUUGAGUGGAAAAGGAUGUGGGGUUGCAUAGACAACCGGGAUGUUGGCUUAGAAGCAGCCAUACAUUAAAAGAGUGCGUAAUAGCUCACCGGUCGAGUGACCCUGCGCCGAAAAUUCAACGGGGCUAAAAUGUACACCGAAGCUUGGGAUUGUACUUUGUACAGUGGUAGGAGAGCGUCGAAUACGGGGUGAAGUCAGAGCGAAAGCGCUGGUGGACUGUAUUCGAGUGAGAAUGCCGGAAUGAGUAGCGAGAAUUAUGUGAGAAUCAUAAUGGCCGAAAGUCUAAGGUUUUGGAAGGAAGGUUCGUCCGCUUCCAGUAAGCCGGGAGCUAAGGUGAGGCCGAAAGGCGUAGCCGAUGCACAUACGGUUGAAAUUCCGUAGCCUCCGAAGUAUUUAAACAGAAGGACACUUGAGAAGUGAUGAUGCCGGGCGAUGGUUGACCCGGUCGUAAGGGACCGAAAUUUAGUAGGGAAGUCAUCAUGGAUCGAGGCGAGAAAAGUUCUGUGAAUAUACAAGGAGCCCGUACCGCAAACCGACACAGGUAGAUAGGAAGAAAAUUCUAAGGCCAACGGGAGAAGGGUUGUUAAGGAACUCGGCAAGUUGACCCCGUAACUUCGGAAUAAGGGGUGCUCUCGAGAGAGAGCCGCAGAGAAUAGGCCCAGGCGACUGUUUAGCAAAAACACAGCUCUAUGCUAAAUCGAAAGAUGAUGUAUAUGGGGUGACACCUGCCCGGUGCCGGAAGGUUAAGAGGAGGCGUGAGAGCGCUGAAUUGAAGCCCCGGUAAACGGCGGCCGUAACUAUAACGGUCCUAAGGUAGCGAAAUUCCUUGUCAGGUAAGUUCUGACCCGCACGAAUGGUGUAACGAUCUGGGCACUGUCUCAACAACCCGCCCGGCGAAAUUGUAGUACCGGUGAAGAUGCCGGUUACCCGCGACUAGACGGAAAGACCCCAUGGAGCUUUACUGCAGCUUAAUGUUGAAUUUCGGUAUUUCAUGUACAGGAUAGGUGGGAGACUGGGAACUACAGGCGUCAGCUUGUGGGGAGUCACUGUUGGGAUACCACUCUUGAAGUGCUGGAAUUCUAACCUGCGGCCUUGAAUCAGGUCGGGGGACAUCGUUAGGCGGGCAGUUUGACUGGGGCGGUCGCCUCCAAAAGAGUAACGGAGGCGCUCAAAGGUUCGCUCAGCAUGGACGGAAACCAUGCCAAAGAGUGCAAACGCAAAAGCGAGCCUAACUGCGAGACUGACGGGUCGAGCAGUAACGAAAGUUGGAGUUAG